ACCUGAGCUUCCAGACCUGAGCUUCCAGACAGAUGAGUCAACGAUGUGUCAACGUCAGAGAACCCCCACCACUUCUGGAUCCAGAUUCUGGGGCUGGACAAACUUAUUGCCGAGAUGAGCUGCUUCUACAGCAAAGGAACCCGGCAGGAGCAGCGAGUGGAGAUCUUCAUGGUGGGGGACAUUGCGGCUGCUCCGUACCCGGACUAUAGCACCUGGAACAGGGCGAGGCUCCUGGGGGUGAUGGGCUCUGGCUUGGUGGACCUCCACUAUGUCGACUUUGGAGACAAUAUUGAACAACCCAGGGACAGUCUACAAAGUAUGAGGUGUGAGGUCAGGGUUAAGAGGUUAGGGCUCUGAAAUAAAUAAUUUUGUUUCCAAGAAAGAGCUGGACAAUACAUUCCAGCAUUCCUCGUUGUAUUGCAAACGUAAUAAAUAAUAGAUGAAAGCUGUUACUCUAAUAGCUGUUAGCUAUUUGGCUAAUGGUUUGUCUUUUCUUCUCUCAUGCCCCUUUUAGGAGUUACUUCCUCAGCCUACCAUUCCAGGUCAUCGAGUGCAGCUUAGCUGGAGUCAACCCAGCAGGCCGGUGUGGAGAGAAGAAGUCCUGGAUGACUUUGACCGCCUGACAUAUGUUGCCUAGUAGAGACCCCUGCUGGCCAAACUGUGCAGCUACACCCACUCUGGCUCAGUGUACUGUACAGCUCUACAACGCAGAGGGCAAGAUCAGUACUAACCUGGACUGGGGAGAGGAGCUGGUGAGUCUUGGCCAUGCUGUGCCUAGCCAGGAUAAUUGGAACGGUAAGGGCGACAGGGACGACCCCGGAUCACCACAGAGGAUGUUGGUAAGAGCACAAGGCAGAGGAGAGGGAAAAUAAAUUAGAGCGAUUUAGAGAUGCAAAGUAUGUAACUAUAUCCGGGUUUCCGUUAGCUGGUAAUAGACGGCUUUUGAAUUAUAUAUUUUGUUUGUUGAAAAAACAACAAAUAAAAUUAGGUUUGUGCAGAUUUAUACAAUAUUACGACGUUCAGAAUGAGACUGAUAUGAGGUAAUAAUAAUUAAUGGAUGACUAAUGCGAUAACGAUAUGUUCUGAUAUUCUUGAGUUUAUUUUGGGAAACGGUAACUCAUUAAACAAACUUUUUCUGUGGCGCCCCAAGAUUGCUAAGGAGUUAAUUGUUACAUGAUUAAUUUAACCAUCGUAUUAAUUAAACAUAGUUAAUUGAUUUGAUAAAAUAAUCGCCAUCACAUUAAUGAUAUUCACAUUAUGUACAAAAUAAGUUGCAGAUAACGCGAAAAAACAUACACAAUAGCACAUUUGGUUACAGGAUCGUAAAACGGCAGCCAUCUCAAUCGGCGCCAAAAUCAGACCAUAUACGUGGAGGCAAUUAUUUUAUAUAAACUUUCUUUCAUUUUCCAGUAGCCAAACUCACAAUCCUAGUCAUAUUAGCAACCCAUGCGAGUUACUGAAUAUUAGGUCUCCCCUCUUUCAAAUUUCUGAAAGGACAUUUUCAUCUUGGUCACAUGAUAUCCGUCACAUUAAACCGCUCACAUGAACGGUGUGCUUUUGAAAGUGGUAUUCUCCUGCUAAUUGAAUUAUUGUGCGCGUUGCUGCCCUUAUAAUGUCAUGAAAUAAUACACUGAACAAGAAUAUAAACACAACAUGCAACUAUUUCUAAUAUUUUUAUGAGUUACAGUUCAUAUAAGGAAAUCCGUCGGUUGAAAUAUAUUCAUUAGCCCCUAGUCUAUGGAUUUCAUAUUAAUACAGAUAUGCUUCUGUUGGCCACAGAUACCUUAAAAAAAGGUUGGGGCGUGGAUCAGAAAACCAGUCAGUAUCUGGUGUGACCACCAUUUGCCUCAUGCAGCGCGACACAUCUCCUUCGCAUAGAGUUGAUCAGGC
Molecule: long non-coding RNA, 1890 nt
Filed under: Oncorhynchus mykiss (rainbow trout)
Lineage: Eukaryota; Metazoa; Chordata; Actinopteri; Salmoniformes; Salmonidae
Description: lncRNA (ENSOMYG00000050505.1)
Source: RNAcentral